CUAAGUUUGAUGGCGACCGGCGCACGGGUGAGUAACACGUAUCCAACCUGCCGAUGACUCGGGGAUAGCCUUUCGAAAGAAAGAUUAAUACCCGAUGGCAUAGUUCUUCCGCAUGGUAGAACUAUUAAAGGAUUUCGGUCAUCGAUGGGGAUGCGUUCCAUUAGGUUGUUGGCGGGGUAACGGCCCACCAAGCCUUCGAUGGAUAGGGGUUCUGAGAGGAAGGUCCCCCACAUUGGAACUGAGACACGGUCCAAACUCCUACGGGAGGCAGCAAUG
RNAcentral lists this ribosomal RNA (276 nucleotides) under uncultured bacterium. RNAcentral's name for it is "partial 16S ribosomal RNA". It matches the Rfam family "Bacterial small subunit ribosomal RNA", at positions 79 to 356 of the family's 1533-position model. The record is from RNAcentral.